CCUACGGGUGGCUGCAGUGGGGGAUAUUGCACAAUGGGGGGAACCCUGAUGCAGCGACGCCGCGUGAGCGAUGGAGUACUUCGGUAUGUAAAGCUCUGUCAGCCGGGAAGAAAAUGACGCUACCUGACCAAGAAGCCCCGGCUAAAUACGUGCCAGCAGCAGCGGUAAUACGUAUGGGGCAAGCGUUAUCCGGAUUUACUGGGUGUAUAGGGAGCGUAGGCGGCAGGGCAAGCCUGAUGGGAAAGCCCGGGGCUCAACCCCGGGACUGCAGUGGGAACUGGCCUGCUGGAGUGCGGGAGGGGCAGGCGGAAUUCGUAGUGUAGCGGUGAAAUGCGUAGAUAUUAGGAGGAACACCAGUGGCGAAGGCGGCAUGCUGGACGGUGACUGACGCUGAGGCUCGAAAGCGUGGGGAGCAAACAGGAUUAGAUACCCGAGUAGUC
Molecule: ribosomal RNA, 440 nt
Filed under: uncultured bacterium
Lineage: Bacteria
Description: partial 16S ribosomal RNA
Rfam family: Bacterial small subunit ribosomal RNA
Source: RNAcentral